GGAACUGAAGUUAAUGUGGUCGUCUGAGGGAUGUGGAUUCAUACUGAUGAUGAACCAUUCAAUGGGAGCUCAAGUUAAUGUGGUCAUCUGAGGGAUGUGGAUUCAUACUGAUGACGCAUACCUUGUCCGCAAUUGCAACGAAAGAUUCUCGCUGGUAUGGUUUUCAAGGUGAAGGGUUACAUGUAGAUGCCACAAACCUUGUCCGCAAUUGCAACCGAAGAUUUUUGGAUGAACCACAAGACGAUCAGAUGAAGGCUUUCAGUUGUCCAGGCCAGGCCAGGUGACCAAUGACGAUGAUAGAUCAGGUUCGAUUCAAGCUAUACGCUUGGUGUAUUCGGUUAUCGUGUCUGGCGACUGAGUCUAACUCACGUCCAAAGCACGGUGGCUGGGUCCCAGGCAUGCUUGCCACUUUGUUCUGCGGUCCUCAUCUAAGUUUCGACGGUGAUGACAUGGACUUAGGUUCAAAGUACGUGUUCCCCUUGAGUCAUUGUGGUUGAUUGAUGGGGGCAAUUAACGGUUGCGUGUCGCUAGUCAUUCAAUUGGUCCCCUUGUUUUAGAGUGUUGGCGGGAUAAGUCUUACGACUGUUAACAAUAGUAAGCAAUAGCUGGCCAGCGAUCCCCUACCUGAUCUCGAGGGGGAUGGAAUGACUGGGGUUAGAGGCCUGUUGUUAACCUGCGGAAUUUCGUCGGACGAAAUGUCAGGCGUGUCCGUGUGGGACUUGUGCUAAACCAGUUUAGUACAUAUGACGAAGACAUUGGGCUCUUUGAAUAACAACAGUGUUCUCAACCUCCUUGUGCCUCACAAAGCUAACAAAUAUACCCGCUGAAAUCGACAAGACGGCGAUGAAGAAGGAGAGCCGGCCUCCAGCUCGAGAGCCGAGAAGACACUGGAUGGACCUGAAGAAUAUGUUGCUGCCAAUGUUGGAGCCAUACAGGGCAGCCCGAGCCAACAUUGUACAAGGGCCACAAGGGACACAAGGACGAGGGACACAAGGACGAGGGACACAAG
Long non-coding RNA from Lineus longissimus, 1009 nucleotides. RefSeq lists it as uncharacterized. The transcript is spliced from 5 exons. NCBI's taxonomy places the organism in Eukaryota, Metazoa, Nemertea, Pilidiophora, Heteronemertea, Lineidae. The record is from RefSeq and is a predicted model, not a curated record.